GAUAAGGUGGCAGAUUGUAUAUGCAAUGGAUUGUAAAUCUAGUUAUAGGGGUUUGAUUCCUCUCUUUAUUA
Molecule: transfer RNA, 71 nt
Filed under: Nepanthia sp. M04
Lineage: Eukaryota; Metazoa; Echinodermata; Asteroidea; Valvatida; Asterinidae
Description: tRNA-Tyr
Rfam family: tRNA
About the family: Transfer RNA (tRNA) molecules are approximately 80 nucleotides in length. Their secondary structure includes four short double-helical elements and three loops (D, anti-codon, and T loops). Further hydrogen bonds mediate the characteristic L-shaped molecular structure. tRNAs have two regions of fundamental functional importance: the anti-codon, which is responsible for specific mRNA codon recognition, and the 3' end, to which the tRNAs corresponding amino acid is attached (by aminoacyl-tRNA synthetases). tRNAs cope with the degeneracy of the genetic code in two manners: having more than one tRNA (with a specific anti-codon) for a particular amino acid; and 'wobble' base-pairing, i.e. permitting non-standard base-pairing at the 3rd anti-codon position.
Source: RNAcentral